This 498-nucleotide ribosomal RNA is filed under the name uncultured bacterium. Its description in RNAcentral is "partial 16S ribosomal RNA". It matches the Rfam family "Bacterial small subunit ribosomal RNA", at positions 28 to 507 of the family's 1533-position model. The record is from RNAcentral.
GACGAACGCUGGCGGCGUGCCUAAUACAUGCAAGUCGAGCGGACGGAUGGGAGCUUGCUCCCAGACCGUCAGCGGCGGACGGGUGAGUAACACGUGGGCAACCUGCCUGUAAGACUGGGAUAACUCCGGGAAACCGGGGCUAAUACCGGAUAACUCUUUCCCUCACAUGAGGGAAAGCUGAAAGAUGGCAUCUCGCUAUCACUUACAGAUGGGCCCGUGGCGCAUUAGCUAGUUGGUGAGGUAACGGCUCACCAAGGCGACGAUGCGUAGCCGACCUGAGAGGGUGAUCGGCCACACGGGGACUGAGACACGGCCCAGACUCCUACGGGAGGCAGCAGUAGGGAAUCUUCCGCAAAGGACGAAAGUCUGACGGAGCAACGCCGCGUGAGUGAUGAAGGUUUUCGGAUCGUAAAACUCUGUUGUCAGGGAAGAACAAGUACCGGAGUAACUGACGGUACCGUGACGGUACCUGACCAGAAAGCCACGGCUAACUACGUG